AGAGUUUGAUCCUGGCUCAGAUUGAACGCUGGCGGCAGGCCUAACACAUGCAAGUCGAGCGGAAACGGCAGCAUUGAAGCUUCGGUGGAUUUGCUGGACGUCGAGCGGCGGACGGGUGAGUAACGGCUGGGAACCUGCCCUGACGCGGGGGAUAACCGUUGGAAACGACGGCUAAUACCGCAUAAUGUCUUAGUUCAUUACGAGCUGGGACCAAAGGUGGCCUCUACAUGUAAGCUAUCGCGUUGGGAUGGGCCCAGUUAGGAUUAGCUAGUUGGUAAGGUAAUGGCUUACCAAGGCAACGAUCCUUAGCUGGUUUGAGAGGAUGAUCAGCCACACUGGGACUGAGACACGGCCCAGACUCCUACGGGAGGCAGCAGUGGGGAAUAUUGCACAAUGGGGGAGACCCUGAUGCAACCAUGCCGCGUGUGUGAAGAAGGCCUUCGGGUUGUAAAGCACUUUCAGCAGUGAGGAAGGUGGUGUACUUAAUACGUGCAUGGCUUGACGUUAGCUGCAGAAGAAGCACCGGCUAACUCCGUGCCAGCAGCCGCGGUAAUACGGAGGGUGCGAGCGUUAAUCGGAAUUACUGGGCGUAAAGCGCAUGCAGGCGGUUUGUUAAGUCAGAUGUGAAAGCCCGGGGCUCAACCUCGGAACCGCAUUUGAAACUGGCAGGCUAGAGUCUUGUAGAGGGGGGUAGAAUUUCAGGUGUAGCGGUGAAAUGCGUAGAGAUCUGAAGGAAUACCAGUGGCGAAGGCGGCCCCCUGGACAAAGACUGACGCUCAGAUGCGAAAGCGUGGGUAGCAAAC
RNAcentral lists this ribosomal RNA (803 nucleotides) under uncultured bacterium. RNAcentral's name for it is "bacterial SSU rRNA". It matches the Rfam family "Bacterial small subunit ribosomal RNA", at positions 8 to 773 of the family's 1533-position model. The record is from RNAcentral.